This 207-nucleotide unclassified non-coding RNA is filed under the name Hevea brasiliensis (rubber tree). Lineage: Eukaryota; Viridiplantae; Streptophyta; Magnoliopsida; Malpighiales; Euphorbiaceae. The record is from RNAcentral.
GCUGUUUGUCUCAAACUUGAAGAAAGAUAUUAUUCAUUUUUAUUUCUAGUGUACCUGCAGAAUAGCACAUCGUCAACAAUGAAGGCCGCCUUGCUAUGCAUGAGUCCCCUCCGUCUUUUGAACAAACUCCUUUAUGUUGAAAGAUUCAGAACCCGCCACUUUCGUGAUGACUCCCUUUUCCGUUAUGAUUCCAGAAAUCAGAUGAGC